UUUUUUUUUUCUUUUUAGUAUUACAAAUAACCCAUAACUUCUGUACUGAAGGUAGGGUGCAAAACAAAGAAUCUUUUCUUCUGCAGUGUCUUAAAAGACAUGGGCUAGGCAGAUGGCUCAGUCAGUAGGCACCUACCUCAUGGUCAUGAGGACCUGAGUUCAAUAGCCCAUGUCAAAACAGCCCAAACUCCUAGAGUGUACAUGAAACCCAGAGUCAGGAAGGCAGAGAUUGGCAGAUCCCUGGAGUUCAAUGAUUAACUGUACCCGGCCUUCUUGGGCAGGUUUCAGGCCAACGAGAGAUUUUUGUCUUAGAAACAAGGCAGAUGGUGUCAGAGUAGUGACAACAUAUGUUGUCCUCUGGCCUCCACGCACGAACAUGAACAUGCAUGAACAUGAACACAUACCUCAAGCAGAAAACAUUUGUAGCACUUAUUAGUGAUCAGAAUCGGAUGCCCGUGCAUGGCCAUUCACUGCAAUUGUUGCUUAGCUGAACGUUGGCCUUGUUUACGAUGUCCUCUGAGUUCAGCGAGAUGCCCCUUUAAACCUCUAGGAGUUGAGCCUUAACAUAAUACUACAUCACAGCAACUCUAUUGCCCAAAUCAGCCACUGGUUUAAGGAGCGUUUCUUACCAUCGUCUGGCUAGCCAUGCUUCAGGGAGUCUUCUGAGAACUUUCUAGGAAAGAAACCAUUCCUCCUUGACUACAAAGAGAACUCUUUCUUUAUCUCAAGGAUGACAAGUGGAAACAUCAUGAUGCCUGAAACAUCAGCCGUGGUGAGAGGAUGGCUCAGGAAAAGGUCACAGAACUAGGAAAAAGUUAGCUCUACCGGCCCUGAAAUGCAUUACUUCCCAGCUUCUUAUGAUGUCGGAUGACAUAAUAAACUCCUCCUUGUGUAUGGAUUCAGACUUGGCUUUCUGGGACUCCGAAGUCCCAGGCUCUCCGUUUCAGUUAAGACAUAGGCUUCACCAGCAACAGCAGCAGCAGCAGCAGGCUCUCUUAUUGAGGUUCAGUCUGUGGGACACAGGGCAGUUCUUUGAUGUGUUCAAGCCACUGGGUCAUAUCCCACAAAGCCACGGCAGCCUUGAAAAAUAAUCACUAGGUACGGCAGUGUGUGCUUGCUGUUUCCAGAAACCAUCUAGAAUUGAGCAUCAAGCAUAGGACUCCGAAUUACAGAACACCCAUCACUGCACAGAUCUACAUCUGAAUAUACAGAACACCCAUCACUGCACAGGUUUCAUCUAAGAAGGGAAUCUGAAGAGAUGAGCUGCCUUGCCUACAGUCAUAAAAAAGAACACCACGGGGAAAUAAAAAUAAGAGUUUGCAUUAUAUCCUGACA
Molecule: long non-coding RNA, 1335 nt
Filed under: Mus spicilegus (steppe mouse)
Lineage: Eukaryota; Metazoa; Chordata; Mammalia; Rodentia; Muridae
Description: lncRNA (ENSMSIG00000030382.1)
Source: RNAcentral